Triticum aestivum (bread wheat) is the source of this 115-nucleotide non-coding RNA. The record is from Rfam. Lineage: Eukaryota; Viridiplantae; Streptophyta; Magnoliopsida; Poales; Poaceae.
CUACUACUCCCUCCGUUCUAAAUUACUCGUCGCUGAAAUGGAUGUAUCUAGAACUAAAACAUAUCCAGAUACAUCCAUACGUGCGACAAGUAAUUUGGAACGGAGGGAGUACCAU